Molecule: transfer RNA, 55 nt
Filed under: Litoditis aff. marina PmI
Lineage: Eukaryota; Metazoa; Nematoda; Chromadorea; Rhabditida; Rhabditidae
Also listed under: 1 other name
Description: tRNA-Gly
Source: RNAcentral
GAUUCUUUAGUAUAUAUAGUAUGUUUGACUUCCAAUCAAAGGGAUUUAAGGAUUA